This is a long non-coding RNA of Papaver somniferum (opium poppy), 899 nucleotides long. RefSeq lists it as uncharacterized. The record is from RefSeq and is a predicted model, not a curated record. The transcript is spliced from 2 exons. NCBI's taxonomy places the organism in Eukaryota, Viridiplantae, Streptophyta, Magnoliopsida, Ranunculales, Papaveraceae.
CUGUUCCAUUUUGGAAAUUUCAAACAUUGCAUAACUCUUUAUGAUGCUCCUGAUGCUUCCAUAUUAUCUUGUUGCAGGUUUUGGCUGAAUCAGUUGACUCAGUGAGUGAGUUUGAAAAUUGGUGGCUGAGCCAAAAUCAAUGAACUUAUGCAUUACAUGGAGAAACCCGAGACUUUUGUAGUACAAGCCCCUAAAAGUAGCUGACUUGUUCAUUCAUAUUUAAGUGAUAACAGUGUUUCAGAGCUUCAAGUGGUAUUAGCUUACUCUGAAGCUACAGAAUGACUAAUCAGUGCUUCAGCAGGUUUUACUCAUCUUUAAUCUUAGUUUUCAUAUUUAUAGCUAAUCUUCAACAUGUAUCCAUCUUUCUCUUCAGUCAGCAACAAAGUAAGGUUUUUUCUGCUUCUCAACUUUCAUUUAUAAACAUCUUCACAUUGAUGAACAUUGUACCUUUAUUUUUUAGUAAUGGUGUAUCACUUUGCAUAUAUCAAUUUUUACUUUUGGAAAAAGCUUAGCUUACUAUGAAGCUAUUGAAUGACUAAUGACUCGUGUUCAUUCAACAGGUCGUGCCCUACUGAUUUAUAAGAUUAGAAGAUAUCAUGUAACCCUUGAUGCGAAGAGAAGUAACUUUAUACUUAUGAGGCUAUAUUUCUGGGAACACAUCAAAACUCAUGAGUAGACCAAUUUGCAAGUAAAGGAAUGUUACGUCAUCCAUCUGAUUUGCUCAUUUUAAUUUUAUUAUUUACUGUUCAACAAUUAUUUGUUGGAAACUCAGCACUAGACUUGAGUUUCUCUUGGGUUUAGAUUUUUUUUAUGUUGCUUGAAUGGAACCAGUUGCUUAUUGAGUGUAACAGAUUUUGACCUUGUAAUUCUUUUUAGUAAAUAAAUGAUGUUGUUGGAAU